AGCUAUUGAGCUGCAGUAUUCGCGCGACUGUAUCACCUGGAAUCGUCUUCCUCGCCUGCGGUUCCUGUCCAAGGACAUGAUCCGGCGUUGGACCUGAGCAUUCCUGAGAGACGAUGAGCACUGCUCGUAAGAGGUGACCAUGUGAGAUAUGAAGUCCUGGCGACAAUGAACGCGCACCGUGUCAAACGAAGGCUUUGUCAUCAACUUGAAACAGGCUACAAACCCCGUAGGAGGUAUCGUUUCCUGCAGUAAGGUUCAUAUUAAGUCCAUAGUCAGGAUAUGUAGCUGUUUGUUUUGCUGUGGAAGAAGUCUCUGCAUUUAUAUAUAUGGAAGUGGUUUUUUUCCUGA
Selaginella moellendorffii is the source of this 348-nucleotide long non-coding RNA. RefSeq lists it as uncharacterized. The transcript is spliced from 2 exons. The record is from RefSeq and is a predicted model, not a curated record. Lineage: Eukaryota; Viridiplantae; Streptophyta; Lycopodiopsida; Selaginellales; Selaginellaceae.